This 385-nucleotide ribosomal RNA is filed under the name uncultured bacterium. RNAcentral describes it as "bacterial SSU rRNA". It matches the Rfam family "Bacterial small subunit ribosomal RNA", at positions 29 to 417 of the family's 1533-position model. The record is from RNAcentral.
AUUGAACGCUGGCGGAAUGCUUUACACAUGCAAGUCGAGCGGCAGCGCGGGGCAACCUGGCGGCGAGCGGCGAACGGGUGAGUAAUGUAUCGGAACGUACCCAGUCGUGGGGGAUAACUAUCCGAAAGGAUAGCUAAUACCGCAUACGUCCUGAGGGAGAAAGCGGGGGAUCGCAAGACCUCGCGCGAUUGGAGCGGCCGAUAUCGGAUUAGCUAGUUGGUGAGGUAAAGGCUCACCAAGGCGACGAUCCGUAGCUGGUCUGAGAGGACGACCAGCCACACUGGAACUGAGACACGGUCCAGACUCCUACGGGAGGCAGCAGUGGGGAAUUUUGGACAAUGGGGGCAACCCUGAUCCAGCCAUUCCGCGUGAGUGAAGAAGGCCU